This 215-nucleotide ribosomal RNA is filed under the name uncultured Glomus. RNAcentral's name for it is "partial small subunit ribosomal RNA". The stretch from base 38 to 215 matches the Rfam family "Eukaryotic small subunit ribosomal RNA", at positions 684 to 863 of the family's 1831-position model. Lineage: Eukaryota; Fungi; Glomeromycota; Glomeromycetes; Glomerales; Glomeraceae. The record is from RNAcentral.
GGAUUAUCAGGUUGGUCGUGCCUCUGGUAUGUACUGAUUUAGAUGGUUUCUCCUUCUUGUAGAACCGUAAUGCCAUUAAUUUGGUGUUGCGGGAAAACAGGACUGUUACUUUGAAAAAAUUAGAGUGUUUAAAGCAGGCAAUCGCUUGAAUACAUUAGCAUGGAAUAAUGAAAUAGGACGUUUGAUCCUAUUUUGUUGGUUUCUAGGAUUGACGU